Molecule: long non-coding RNA, 602 nt
Organism: Phyllostomus discolor (pale spear-nosed bat)
Lineage: Eukaryota; Metazoa; Chordata; Mammalia; Chiroptera; Phyllostomidae
Exons: 3
Source: RefSeq, a predicted model, not a curated record
GGAGUUUGGGGUGGUGGGCUUACCUGAGCGCGGGCGUGGGAACCCGUUCCUGAGGUCGCCCCUCGGCCCCUGGGGUGUGGGCAGGACCGGGUCCUGGGAGCGCAGCCUGGGCCUCUCCUUCCCGGGCAAGGCAGCUGGGCCUUGGAGGGGGCACCCGCCCUGCCCGCCCCCCACCUCUCACCCUCCACUCAGGUCUCCGCCCCCCAGCCUGGGGUGGCAGGGGGUGAACUUGUGCUGUGCUGGCAUUGUCUGGAGAUCUACACCCACGUGGCUCUUUGUGGAGGGUCCCCGGUGCCCCCAAGUUUCUACAAGUUCCGGUCAAACUGAGCACAGCUGAGCCCCGAGGCCCCCGCUGAGCGUGACACCCAGGGGCAGGGGUGGUGGGGGGCAGGGCUGGUCCUUCCCCCUCAGGCUCACUCCCCAUUUCUUGGGGGGCGGUGGGAGGGUGUGUUCUGAGUGUCUCCUUCAUAAAGUUGGGGAGUCCCCUGGAGGAAGGGGCCACAGAGGGGAAGGAUGUGAGGAUGGGGUCCUGCAGAUUGUCUUGGUCUGAAGGUGGGAGGUGUUGGCUGCACAGAGCCAAGGGUCCUGUAAUGUGUGCACAC